GUCUACUUAACUACUUUAGUGCUUGUUACGAUCAUGGGUGGAAGAAAUGGGUUUGAUACAUAGAGUUAGCGGAGCAUUCUCCCAAGAGUAAAAUGUCGUGAGGAAAGUACUCGUACUACUCUUGUUCCCAACUAACCUUUCUUACCAAGAGAGCAAGCAUCCUGUGAAGCACAUGGAUGAACAUUCCAAAAUGAUUUAAUGAUACUUGUGGAGGAAGACAAGA
This 223-nucleotide long non-coding RNA is filed under the name Elaeis guineensis (African oil palm). Its description in RNAcentral is "long non-coding RNA (EGUI_LNC016086)". The record is from RNAcentral. Lineage: Eukaryota; Viridiplantae; Streptophyta; Magnoliopsida; Arecales; Arecaceae.